CAGAUAAGGAGCUUGCUCCUUUGACGUUAGCGGCGGACGGGUGAGUAACACGUGGAUAACCUACCUAUAAGACUGGGAUAACUUCGGGAAACCGGAGCUAAUACCGGAUAAGAUUUUGAACCGCAUGGUUCAAUAGUGAAAGACGGUCUUGCUGUCACUUAUAGAUGGAUCCGCGCCGUAUUAGCUAGUUGGUAAGGUAACGGCUUACCAAGGCAACGAUACGUAGCCGACCUGAGAGGGUGAUCGGCCACACUGGAACUGAGACACGGUCCAGACUCCUACGGGAGGCAGCAGUAGGGAAUCUUCCGCAAUGGGCGAAAGCCUGACGGAGCAACGCCGCGUGAGUGAUGAAGGUCUUCGGAUCGUAAAACUCUGUUAUCAGGGAAGAACAAACGUGUAAGUAACUGUGCACGUCUUGACGGUACCUGAUCAGAAAGCCACGGCUAACUACGUGCCAGCAGCCGCGGUAAUACGUAGGUGGCAAGCGUUAUCCGGAAUUAUUGGGCGUAAAGCGCGCGUAGGCGGUUUUUUAAGUCUGAUGUGAAAGCCCACGGCUCAACCGUGGAGGGUCAUUGGAAACUGGAAAACUUGAGUGCAGAAGAGGAAAGUGGAAUUCCAUGUGUAGCGGUGAAAUGCGCAGAGAUAUGGAGGAACACCAGUGGCG
RNAcentral lists this ribosomal RNA (664 nucleotides) under Staphylococcus sp. RNAcentral's name for it is "bacterial SSU rRNA". It matches the Rfam family "Bacterial small subunit ribosomal RNA", at positions 70 to 717 of the family's 1533-position model. Lineage: Bacteria; Bacillati; Bacillota; Bacilli; Caryophanales; Staphylococcaceae. The record is from RNAcentral.